This is a long non-coding RNA of Lagenorhynchus albirostris (white-beaked dolphin), 4191 nucleotides long. RefSeq lists it as uncharacterized. The record is from RefSeq and is a predicted model, not a curated record. The transcript has 4 exons. NCBI's taxonomy places the organism in Eukaryota, Metazoa, Chordata, Mammalia, Artiodactyla, Delphinidae.
CCCCGGGGCUGCUGCCUUCCGCGGCAGUUAGGAAGGCCCCGCCUGGGCGCCUGCUCGGAGGCCUCCCCCUCGUGCUUUUCUUGCGGAAGCCAGUGCUCAGGGACGUCUAGACAGCGGAACUCUGGCCGUCAUGAGGUCCGCAGACAGCCGGCAGCUGCUCCCCAAGAGUGAACCAGCCCGCGCUUCUGACCAGUUGGCACCCGGAGGGAGUCCAGUGGAGGGACAGGAAUCCGUGGAGGCAGCUGACGGACAGUGGUCUUCAGCUCAAAGUACGCGGGCCUCUCACUGUUGCGGCCUCUCCCGCUGCAGAGCACAGGCUCCGGACGCGCAGGCUCAGCAGCCAUGGCUCACGGGCCCAGCCGCUCCGUGAUACGUGGGAUCCUCCCGGACCGGGGCACGAACUUGCAUCCCUGCAUCGGCGGACUCCCAACCACUGCGCCACCAGGGAAGCCCAAGCAUCUCGUUUUAUUUGUGCAUCAAUGACUCACGUGCUUUCGUGGAACACACGAAACACACUCAGCUCUGUGACGAGACCUGGGCCAUGGGAUCUCUGCCCUCAAGACAGCUGACAAUCAGGGAGAGAAGGAGAAUACAUGUUGUAUCCUGGUGAGGAGAAGCAGUCACCUGCAAUCCCGAGGACCAUCUGCACCUUCCAGAACAGAAAAGCAAGGCUGGUUGGGUUAGUCCUGAGAUCAGCAGCUGUGCAUUUGUGCUUCAAAGAGAAGCCUUUGGGACUUACCUGGUGGCACAGUGGUUAAGAAUCCACCUGCCAAUGCAGGGGACAAGGGUUCGAGCCCUGGUCAGGGAAGAUCCCACAUGCUGUUGAGCAACUAACGCGCCACAACUACUGAGCCUGUGCUCUAGAGCCCGCAAACCACAACUACUGAGCCCACGUGCCACAACUACUGAAGCCUGGCCACAACAAGAGAAGCCACUGCAGUGAGAAGCCUGCACACCACAUCGAAGAGUGGCCCCUGCUCGCUGCAACUACAGAAAGCCCGUGCACAGCAACGAAGACCCAAUGCAGCCAAAAAUAAAUAAAUAAAAAAGAGAAGCCCUCAGGCAAAGGAAGCGGUUUCCUUUGGGUUGACCUCAUUCUAGGGCUAAUGUUAGGCUCCUGGAGGUGGGUGAGACGCACAUUUUCCUUCCAGUGUUCAAAGGGAGUGAAAUACAAAAUAAUGUUAAGCUUGCCCAAACUCAGGGAAUAGAUACCCUCAUUUUAGGAAAAAAAUGAUAAUACAAGAAACAGAUGAAAAAAAGUUCUAAGGUGAAUAAUUCUUAAACCAUGUUUUCUUCUCUUUUCCUAUGCAGAUCCAAUGUAUAAAAAAUAAAUAUAGACUUGCUGGUGGAAGUAGUAGUCCUUAAUAUCCUCCUGAAAAAUGCCAUGGAACAAGUGUAACUAUUGAAAGCUGGUUUCUUACUGAUCACAAAGUCAAACAAUUUACUCUGGAGCUAUAAGGUAUCAAAAAAAAAAAGAAGUUGAUGGAAAUCAGACUUCUAUGCCAUAAGUGGAUAAGAUGUGACAGAGGUUAGACCUUCCCUGACCAGCCGCCUCACCAGAACUCUGUCUACUUCCCUGCUCAGCUUCUUCCACAGCCCCCAGCAAUAUCUGACACUCCAUCUAGCCGCCCCCCAGAGCAGAAACUUCUCGAAGGCAGGUAUUUUUUGCCAUGUGGACAGCUGCAUUCCUAGUGCCUAGAAAAACAUUUGGCACAAAGCGGGUGCUCAGUAUAUGCUCUUAAAAGAAUAAAUGAAUCUAAGCUUAUUCCUUGGCUCCUUUUUUCUUUUGAAAGAACUUAUAACUUGACUAACUUUAAUUUUACACAUUCUGAUUAAAGCACAUGUGUAAGGUAACAAUUCUCUUAACAUCCAUAAAGAAGCUCUGAUUCUUCUGUAAAUCACAUUCGGUGCUUCCCUCCGCCCCUCCCUGUCUUAAAUAGGCUUGAUUAGUGUGAGACCAUCAAAAUAACAUUUAUUAACAAAAGUACAGUAAAUGCUAAAAAGCUGACAGCUGAAUUAAAGACUUGGCAUGCGAAUGCAAUAGCUAAGUAGAAGCUUUCAUUCUGGCUCAGCACUGCUGAGGAUAAAUUGACCUGCAGAAUUCAUUAUGAAUAGAGCAAAAAGAUGAAACAGAAUAAAUCUGAUUUUUCCUUUCUUAGGAUAAAAUUCACAACUAAAACAGACUACUGAAGGAGAAAUGGCCAUAAAGCUAUAUACACAACGAUAAGAACCUUGGGGAGGCAAAAAAGAGAGAGGGCUGGGCUUGAGGGUGGAAGGGCAGCCUCGGGCUUGGCCACUCACAGUCUGGGUGUCCUCACUUGGACCAUCUAUGAAACAGGGAUACACCCCCCUUCCAGUCUACCUUAGAAGGUUGCUGUAAAGAUUAAUUUAACUGCUGAUACAGGAUUGCUGUAAAAACUGUAAAGUACUAUUAAACAUAAGGUACUUUCCAUCAGUCUAACGACCCUGCGAAGUAUAUAAACUGGAGGAGUGUAUAAAUCUGUAUCAAAAGGUACACGAAUCUAACCAUUGCUUCCUUAUUCAGAUGAGGUCAAAGCCUGUGGACAUCGUCCAAGGACACUAACAAAUGGCCUUUCACUUGCCUUCCUAGACUCAGAGCUCCUUGCCUUCCACCAAGAGGUUCAACUGUAUAAUGCAGCUAACUCUGGAGAUCUCCAAAUCUUGGAUUAGUCCUGGAGAAAGGGCUGUUUGGGAAAAAAAAAAAUACGUGAUACAAGGCAGCUAGUUAAGUUAGAUCAACUUUAAGAACAGAGAAAGUCAAUCUUAACCUAUGUGAAGAGGCUGUCUUUCAAAUCUGGUGAAGGGGUGACUUCCCAGGAUGCAACGCAAGUCGAAGUUAGGGCCUCUGGGGAAGGGAGUUAAUUUGGUGCGGAGAGCCCGGCAGUCGGAAGUCCUGAGUUUACUAGCUGUGUGACCUUGGGCAAAUGAAAUGACCUUACCCUUCUCAACUGUAAAAUGGAGGAAAUAAUACCAAUUGUGCCACAUGGUUUCCGGAAGGAUUUUAAACACAUAAAUUCAUGGGAAAAGUGCUUAAAAAUUGCAAGGCACUUUGCCAGUCUUUGUUAUUACUUUCUAAGAAUUAUGCUCUUUGCAGUUCUUUCCACUGCAAAGUAAUGUAAUCUAUGGAAAAUGAAGAAAAGAGACAAAUAUAUAACAUGAACACAAUAGCCAGAGUGAACAUGUUGGUGUAUUUGCUUCCAGUCAAACAGAUGAGAGAAUCCACCCAAGAAGCUCAGACGAGGGCCUGAUGCGGGGUGAGCACAGGACAGAUGCUAAUCAAGGGCAUAGCCUCACAGGGGUGGAGGAGAUGAGGCGCCCCAAGCAGCAGUGACCGCAGGGCAGGACAUCAAACAACCCAAUGAUCUAGUCUCAUCUCACACGGAAGACACCACUGUGGGUCAGCCAUGCUAGUGGUUUGUCCAUGGGUCAGAGUUAAGGCAGGAUUAGGACUACAACCAAGUAUAAAUCCAGCUCCUUUAAAUUAAUUGGCCUUUUUAGACCAACUAUUUUACUUUUUAAAAGUAAACUUUUUAGUUUCGUUUGAAACAUGGUUGCUCAUUUUCACUUCAUUUUCAUCUGUUUACUGUUAUUGUCAUCAUAAGUUUGCAUGCAGUAUAAACACUGUACAUUUAGUAAAUGUAAAUGGGUACAUUUCAGCUUCUCACUUCCAAAUUGCCUUUGUGUCUGGCUAAAGCCCCGAGUAAGAGUAAGAGAAACGGGAGCGUGGGAGUGGAGGGCGGCGCACUAAAAAUAGACCUGAACGGAUGAAACCCAGUCCCACUUGACAUCCACAUUAAACCUGAUGGAGGGGAAUCUCUUUGGGAGUCAGAACCCGAGAAGCACAAACCUGGAAGAUGAAAGAGCCUGAGAGCUAGAGUACAAGGAAGAUUUAAAUCGAAGAUAAACCAGGCACAAAAAAGGAAAGGAUGUUGGUAAUCUGAGAUCAGUUUCAGAAAUACGAAUGGUUUGAUGAAAAUGAUGGAGGCUCUUGUGUGUGUACACAAGUGGUUUUAGAGUUUGCAGAAAUCUUUUGAAACUUUCCCCAAACUCAGCACAUUAAUCAAAAAGAUAAAUGAUGUAAGUAAGACAAGCGAAGUGCCAAAGGAUCUAAGUUUUCUGUGCUACCCCAAUGUUUGGUACUGUACCUUUGGUAAUAAAGUCUAAAAAGUC